This 1161-nucleotide long non-coding RNA is filed under the name Astyanax mexicanus (Mexican tetra). RNAcentral describes it as "lncRNA (ENSAMXG00005007711.1)". The record is from RNAcentral. Lineage: Eukaryota; Metazoa; Chordata; Actinopteri; Characiformes; Acestrorhamphidae.
GAAAGCAUUUUAAUAGUGUCAUGUUCACUCAUUUCCAUUCUUGUGUGUUUGUGUGUGUUGCAGGAAGGUGUAUUCUUGUUCAGAGCAGCACUAAGAGGAGAUCUCCACUAUGAAUGCAGUGAAGCACACUCUGUAGACUCCGAUGGCUGGCGGUCGCGCAGUGUAACAGAAGGUCUGAGGAAUGGUGAUGCAAACAGUUCGUCUCUGGCAGCAAAAGGCUUCCGCAGCGUCCGACCCAACCUGCAGGACAAGAAAUCACCCGUCCUGGUAAACUACGCCACCUGCAUACAGUAUGCAAUAAGUAAUGGGGCCUAAAUUAGAAUUAGAACCAAAUUUAGCAAAACAAGAGUAAGAGUAAGAGUAACUUACCUGCCAUUUACAUAACUUUCUAAGCCUCUAGUGGUGACUUUUGAUUGGCUGCUAAAUGUAAUGUAUCAUUAGCAACCCCAUCAAAAUACUCCAAAUAGGUCUUAUCUGUUAAGCAUGGUGGUGGUAGUGUUAUAGCAAAGAAAUGUAUGGUUUUCAAUGGCUUCCGUUGUGCUUGGUUCUGAUUAAUCUGAGAAAAUCUCAUCAUCUGGUUUCAUUCAGUGUAACUGAUAAACACACGUGUUAUGUGUGGCAUAUUGCAUGUACAGAGUUUCAAUAAUAGAUAUGGGGUCCCAUGACUUGUGCCAUGUCUCAUGGAAGAUAAAGAAAGAAGCACUGACCUGUGGGGUACGCUUGUGUGGCCCUCAUCAUUGAAUGUGGAUGUGAUUUUUAGCCAGAAGCCACCGGCCAAGAUCAUUACCACCCACUGUGCUGUCCACUCUGGGUGGUAAUAUUAGUCUUCAAUGACGUAUUCCUGGUCAACGCAACAUGAAUUGGAACGUCCCCUCCAUCUGGCACUCACUAUCAGCAUUUCGUUUUAACUCACUGUCUUGCUAUGAGCACAUUGGCCAGUGUACAACUUCACUCACAAGAUAACAACUCAUAACUUAUACCAGUGUUGGUGUUUUUAAGUGCAUUUACUGCUGGCCCAUGACUUGUGGCAUUUCUGUGUACUUUAUAUGCAGUACACUUUUUUAUCAAGGUUAUAAAUUGUUUAUUAACAGUAUUUAUAAUACAUUUUUGAUUGAAACAGCGUGAGGAUAUCUGAUAGAGUGUGAGCAUGCAUUGCUGAUA